AAGUCAUAAUAGUUUUGACUGGAACUAUACUUGCUAGUGCCCAAGCUUCUUCAGCAAAUGGGUGGACAAGAGUUAUUGUUGAGAAGCCAUUUGGCCCUGAUUCCAAGUCAUUUUCCGAACUUACUAGAUGUCUAAAGCAGCACUUAGCAGAGGACCAUAUAUUCAGAGGUAUACUCUACAACAUUCCUUUUUAAUAAGAUGAACUUAUGAAGCUCUGGAGUUUCCAUUUUUUAACUUUCACCAGGGUUGAUCAUCAUUUGGGCAAAGAUAUAGUUGAUAAAAUGCUAGCUAUUUACUGGGAAAUAUCUAGUACUGGGACAGGAGAAAACACUAGUACUAAGAAAUAAAUUUACAUUGUGCUUUUGUAUUAGACAUCAAAAUAAGAGGUAAGACUGGAGAAUUAAUCACGAGUCUAUCUACUAAUUAUCCCAGGAGUAAGGCUAGAAUUUUUCAUUAGAAAUAUAUAUUUUAGUGACCUUGAUUGAGAAUCUAAUUUUCAUUCUUUCUCUUAUAUGUUAUUCAUACCGUAAUCUGACCAUCUGAUAUGUAGUUUCGCUUUGGCAUGAAAACUUCGGGCUACCUCCAUGUGGCCAGCACUUCCUCUUUCUGCAAAGAUAUAUCGAAAACAGGAGUUUUAGAAGAUAUGUUUCCGGACUGUCACCAAGGAAAUUUAUAAUCCAUGGAAAAAGCUAGGAUAUCUGAAUUUCUAAAUUUUAGCCCUAGCUAAAGAGAGAUUCAUUAUCAGCCCUGUUUGCCAAUCUCGGUUUUAGAUUUUGAAGUUUAUAUUUGUUAGAAUUUUUUAGAAACCACAUAUAAUGUGCGCUUCUUUUAUAGAAGUUGGUCUGUUACAAAAUAUUUUUCACUAGAUCGCUGGAUGUAUCUCUUGGUUUCUUGCUUUUAAUUAAGCCCUGUGAUAUUAUGUUUCUAUCAUACUUUGAUGAGAUGCAGGUACUUAAUUCAGUUGAGCCCAGUUGGGAACAGUUUCUUGAACAGACCAACUCAGCACUAGCUGAAAGUUGAGAAAUAUAGCAAAGAAGUUAAAGAAGAAUAUUUCUUCCAUAGCUUUCCUCUGGUUAAUGAAGCUAUUGGUCAAGCUAUGAAGCCUGUUGGAGCCUCCCAUCCUGUGAAGCUUAUCACUUAUGUUCCAGAUGCACAUGAGGAUGAUGAAUAACACCCUCCUGAAUGUGGAUGGAUUACAAGACGGAAGCAUUCAUUAUUGUACUAGCAUUGGCUUGUGGGAGUGGUUGCACGUUGAAAAUCAAUAUAUGGAUGUAGUACAUACUUGAUAUUUAGAUUAGAGGGAUGUGUAGUAGUUGAUCGAUAUUGGAUUUGAUGGAUGUGAUAUUGGAUUUGAUGGAUGUUUAGUAGGUGAGAUUGGAAUUUGAUGGAUGUAUAGAGUACAAUUGGUUUAUAUAUGCAUUAAUAAGAUUUAGUUGUUGAUUU
Daucus carota subsp. sativus is the source of this 1443-nucleotide long non-coding RNA. RefSeq lists it as uncharacterized. The transcript is spliced from 3 exons. The record is from RefSeq and is a predicted model, not a curated record. Lineage: Eukaryota; Viridiplantae; Streptophyta; Magnoliopsida; Apiales; Apiaceae.